UAACGGCCGCGGUAUUUUGACCGUGCAAAGGUAGCGCAAUCACUUGUCUUUUAAAUAGAGACCUGUAUGAAUGGCCAAACGAGGGCUUAACUGUCUCCCCCUCCCAGUCAGUGAAAUUGAUCUAUCCGUGCAGAAGCGGGUAUAAAUAUACAAGACGAGAAGACCCUUUGGAGCUUAAGGUACAAAGUUUAACCAUGUUAAACAACUUAUUAAAGAGCAAAAACUUAAUGGAAAAUAAGCAUUUACCUUCGGUUGGGGCGACCGCGGAGGAAAAAUCAGCCUCCGAGUGGAACGGGCUAACUACCUAAAACCAAGAGAGACAUCUCUAAGCCGCAGAAAAUCUGACCAAAAAUGAUCCGACACAUAGUCGAUCAACGAACCAAGUUACCCUAGGGAUAACAGCGCAAUCCUCUCCCAGAGUCCAUAUCGACGAGGGGGUUUACGACCUCGAUGUUGGAUCAGGACAUCCUAAUGGUGCAGCCGCUAUUAAGGGUUCGUUUGUUCAACGAUUAAAGUCCUACGUGAUCUGAGUUCAGACCGGAGUAAUCCAGGUCAGUUUCUAUCUGUAAUGCUACU
This 576-nucleotide ribosomal RNA is filed under the name Pseudorasbora parva (stone moroko). Its description in RNAcentral is "partial large subunit ribosomal RNA". It matches the Rfam family "Bacterial large subunit ribosomal RNA", at positions 1925 to 2654 of the family's 2925-position model. Lineage: Eukaryota; Metazoa; Chordata; Actinopteri; Cypriniformes; Gobionidae. The record is from RNAcentral.